This 611-nucleotide ribosomal RNA is filed under the name Escherichia coli. RNAcentral's name for it is "partial 23S ribosomal RNA". It matches the Rfam family "Bacterial large subunit ribosomal RNA", at positions 2169 to 2779 of the family's 2925-position model. The record is from RNAcentral. Lineage: Bacteria; Pseudomonadati; Pseudomonadota; Gammaproteobacteria; Enterobacterales; Enterobacteriaceae.
CGCCAGUCUGCAUGGAGCCGACCUUGAAAUACCACCCUUUAAUGUUUGAUGUUCUAACGUUGACCCGUAAUCCGGGUUGCGGACAGUGUCUGGUGGGUAGUUUGACUGGGGCGGUCUCCUCCUAAAGAGUAACGGAGGAGCACGAAGGUUGGCUAAUCCUGGUCGGACAUCAGGAGGUUAGUGCAAUGGCAUAAGCCAGCUUGACUGCGAGCGUGACGGCGCGAGCAGGUGCGAAAGCAGGUCAUAGUGAUCCGGUGGUUCUGAAUGGAAGGGCCAUCGCUCAACGGAUAAAAGGUACUCCGGGGAUAACAGGCUGAUACCGCCCAAGAGUUCAUAUCGACGGCGGUGUUUGGCACCUCGAUGUCGGCUCAUCACAUCCUGGGGCUGAAGUAGGUCCCAAGGGUAUGGCUGUUCGCCAUUUAAAGUGGUACGCGAGCUGGGUUUAGAACGUCGUGAGACAGUUCGGUCCCUAUCUGCCGUGGGCGCUGGAGAACUGAGGGGGGCUGCUCCUAGUACGAGAGGACCGGAGUGGACGCAUCACUGGUGUUCGGGUUGUCAUGCCAAUGGCACUGCCCGGUAGCUAAAUGCGGAAGAGAUAAGUGCUGAAAGCA